GGACAGGAAACAUGCUUUGAAAAUCAGGCUUGCAGGAGCAAACUCUGCUCCGAUUAAACUGCACGUUCCAAAGAAGCUCCGUCGAAAACACAUCAUCAAGUGCUGCGGUUUCAAAAAAUGCAUGCCGAAAUUCAACGCAACUUCAAAGAAAAGAACAAAAAAUUUGGACCAGGCCGAUGGUCCGAUUUCGUCAACUUUGAUUCAGCUUGCGAGCAAAACGGGCGCAGUGAAAGGAAGCACAGCUGCCUCUGACGUCAGCAACAAUGACGAACCGCCGACUGUGCCGGAAGUUGGUACAG
Molecule: long non-coding RNA, 299 nt
Organism: Cloeon dipterum
Lineage: Eukaryota; Metazoa; Arthropoda; Insecta; Ephemeroptera; Baetidae
Exons: 3
Source: RefSeq, a predicted model, not a curated record